RNAcentral lists this ribosomal RNA (813 nucleotides) under Pestalotiopsis jinchanghensis. Its description in RNAcentral is "eukaryotic LSU rRNA". It matches the Rfam family "Eukaryotic large subunit ribosomal RNA", at positions 80 to 918 of the family's 3401-position model. The record is from RNAcentral. Lineage: Eukaryota; Fungi; Ascomycota; Sordariomycetes; Amphisphaeriales; Sporocadaceae. RNAcentral also lists the same sequence under 1 other name.
UUAGUAACGGCGAGUGAAGCGGCAACAGCUCAAAUUUGAAAUCUGGCCCUCGGGUCCGAAUUGUAAUUUGUAGAGGAUGAUUUUGGUGCGGUAUCUUCCGAGUUCCUUGGAACAGGACGCCUUAGAGGGUGAGAGCCCCGUACGGUUGAAUGCCUAGCCUCUGUAAAUCUCCUUCGACGAGUCGAGUAGUUUGGGAAUGCUGCUCUAAAUGGGAGGUAAAUUUCUUCUAAAGCUAAAUAUUGGCCAGAGACCGAUAGCGCACAAGUAGAGUGAUCGAAAGAUGAAAAGCACUUUGAAAAGAGGGUUAAAUAGCACGUGAAAUUGUUGAAAGGGAAGGAUUUGUGACCAGACUUUUUCUGGGCGGAUCAUCCGGGGUUCUCUCCGGUGCACUUUGCCCAGUAAAGGCCAGCAUCGAUUUUCGGCGGCGGAUAAAAGCAGUGGGAAUGUGGCUCCCCUCGGGGAGUGUUAUAGCCCAUUGUAUAAUACGCUGCUGGGGAUCGAGGUACGCGCUUCUGCAAGGAUGCUGGCGUAAUGGUUAUCAAUCACCCGUCUUGAAACACGGACCAAGGAGUCGAACAUUUAUGCGAGUGUUUGGGUGUUAAACCCUCACGCGUAAUGAAAGUGAACGGAGGUGAGAGCCCGUACGGGUGCAUCAUCGACCGAUCCUGAAGUUUUCGGAUGGAUUUGAGUAAGAGCAUAACUGUUCGGACCCGAAAGAUGGUGAACUAUGCGUGGAUAGGGUGAAGCCAGAGGAAACUCUGGUGGAGGCUCGCAGCGGUUCUGACGUGCAAAUCGAUCGUCAAAUCUGCGCAU